AGAGGGCCUCACGUGCGCUAGGCAAGCACUCUACCAUUAAGCCACAUCCCCAGGCUCCAAAUGAAUUUUAUAGUUGCUGUUUCUAUGAAGAAUGUCAUUAAGAUUUCAAUAGGAAAUUCAUUAACUAUGUUAUAAUGUUUUUAGUAGUAUGGCCAUUUUGACAAUGCCAAUUCUGCCUAUGCAAAAGCAUGGGAAGUCUUCCCAUCUUUGAAGUUCUUCUUCAAUUUCUUUCUUUGGUUGUGUAGUUUCAUUGUAAAGAUCUUUCACCUCUUUUGUUAAAUUGUGCAUCUUGGUUCUUACCUCAGGGCUAAGUUGUACUACACAGACCUAAUAAGCUCUCAUGAAUAUCUCCAUAUAAAUCUUCAUGAUUCUUUCAAGACCCAUGGUAACCCACGAUGAAUCCUCUAAAUCUAUGCCAAUGCACAAUUUAAAAUAGAUUUAUUGCAUGAUGAUUAUCUGCCAGACUGUGUUUCUUGAAUAUACUGAUGGGAAAAAAAUGUUCUUCAUGAAGAGCUGCCAAGCAGCACAUAAAUUCAACCAGGUAAUUUUGUGUACUUUUUGGAAAAUGAGAGUAAUUCUGGGUAAGAUACAUUCAAUCAGCCAGGAACUGGUUGAUUAUCAUAAUAGAAAUCUCCUUAGGAGAAUAAAAAAGUCAGAGUAGAUAAUUACAAUUAAAAAUCCACAUAGAAGCAUGUAUGUUGUGACACACAGAAACUCACUGUGUAUAAUGAGGCAGAAAGAAUACCUUGACAAAAACAGUGUUAUGACUUAGAUGUGAGGUGUUCCCCAAAAACUCAUGCAUGAGAAAAUACAAGAAAGUUUAUAUGUGAAAUGAUUGGGAUAUGAGAUUCUUAACAUAAUCAGUGCAUUAAUAUUCUAAUAGGGAUUAGCUGGGUAGUAAUUGUAGGCCUUUAAGAUGUGGCUAGAGAAGGGGGGUCAUUGAGGGCAUGAUUUUGGAAUUUAUAUUUUGUCUGUGGUAAGAAAUGCUCUCUCCUCCCCUCUUCCUUGUGGUUAUGUCCUGAGGCAAUUUCUUGUACCACAUCUUUUUAUUAUGAUCUUCUGGCAUACCUUGAGGCCUCUGAAACCAUGAGCACCAAAUAAACUUCCUCCUCUGAAAAUUUUCUUAUCAGGUCUUUUGGUUGCAGCACUAAACAGC
RNAcentral lists this long non-coding RNA (1156 nucleotides) under Marmota monax (woodchuck). Lineage: Eukaryota; Metazoa; Chordata; Mammalia; Rodentia; Sciuridae. The record is from RNAcentral.